CCAGCAGCUGGGGAGUGAGGGCUCCAGCCCUAAGGGUGUGUUUGUGGGGCUGGGUAGAUAUCACAGUAGCCACCAGAGUAAACUUUUUGUAAAUGCUUAGGAUGACAGUCUUAUUACUGCAUUAUUUAAUCCAGCAGUUAGUUGCCUGCCUAAGAACCUCUAGUGAGUCUAGUGCCCAUUGAAUACAGACCAAAUGCCAUCCUUUGAGAGUCUUUGCUUUCCUGUAAAGAUUUAGGAUUGGACUUGAGCUACAAGCCUUUCUCCUUGCGGACUUCCCCAGGUAGGGGCCUGGCCUGGCUGUCCAACUGCGUAGUCACCCCUGAGGUGUCCACAGGUUCUAUGCCAUCCCC
RNAcentral lists this long non-coding RNA (350 nucleotides) under Pan troglodytes (chimpanzee). Its description in RNAcentral is "long non-coding RNA NONPTRT005509". The record is from RNAcentral. Lineage: Eukaryota; Metazoa; Chordata; Mammalia; Primates; Hominidae.